AGUUCCACCUUAUAAAAAAUAAAGCCCAUACCAACGAUGUUGACGGCAACCCAAAAUUUCUCAUGUUGGUCACAUCCUUUUUGAAACCAUGUUUGUACCACCUGACCGUGUGAGGCUAAAAAAUGAUUCCUUGUUUGACCUGCACGAUUGAACCCACCUAGCUCUUUACCAUAUCUAAUUCUCGUCUCCUUGGAGAACAUACCCUAUAGCCAUU
Molecule: long non-coding RNA, 214 nt
Filed under: Elaeis guineensis (African oil palm)
Lineage: Eukaryota; Viridiplantae; Streptophyta; Magnoliopsida; Arecales; Arecaceae
Description: long non-coding RNA (EGUI_LNC047473)
Source: RNAcentral